GAUGAACGCUGGCGGCGUGCCUAAUACAUGCAAGUCGAGCGAACAGACGAGGAGCUUGCUCCUCUGACGUUAGCGGCGGACGGGUGAGUAACACGUGGAUAACCUACCUAUCAGACUGGGAUAACUUCGGGAAACCGGAGCUAAUACCGGAUAACAUGUUGAACCGCAUGGUUCAACAGUGAAAGACGGUCUUGCUGUCACUUAUAGAUGGAUCCGCGCCGCAUUAGCUAGUUGGUAAGGUAACGGCUUACCAAGGCAACGAUGCGUAGCCGACCUGAGAGGGUGAUCGGCCACACUGGAACGGAGACACGGUCCAGACUCCUACGGGAGGCAGCAGUAGGGAAUGUUCCGCAAUGGGCGAAAGCCUGACGGAGCAACGCCGCGUGAGUGAAGGAGGUCUUCGGAUCGUAAAACUCUGUUAUUAGGGAAGAACAGAUGUGUAAGUAACUAUGCACGUCUUGACGGUACCUAAUCAGAAAGCCCCGGCUAACUACGUG
This 497-nucleotide ribosomal RNA is filed under the name uncultured bacterium. RNAcentral's name for it is "partial 16S ribosomal RNA". It matches the Rfam family "Bacterial small subunit ribosomal RNA", at positions 28 to 507 of the family's 1533-position model. The record is from RNAcentral.